GUAGGGUGCGAGCGUUAAUCGGAAUUACUGGGCGUAAAGUGUGCGCAGGUGGCCGCGCAUGUCGAGUAUGAAAUCCCCGGGCUUAACUUGGGAAUUGCGCUCGAAACUACGUGGCUCGAGUGUGGCAGAGGAAGGUGGAAUUCCACGUGUAGCGGUGAAAUGCGUAGAGAUGUGGAGGAACACCGAUGGCGAAGGCAGCCUUCUGGGCCAACACUGACGCUCAUGCACGAAAGCGUGGGGAGCAAACAGGAUUAGAUACCCUGGUAGUCCACGCCCUAAACGAUGAUGACUAGUUGUUGGGGGAGUUAAAUCCCUUAGUAACGCAGCUAACGCGUGAAGUCAUCCGCCUGGGGAGUACGGUCGCAAGAUUA
This 371-nucleotide ribosomal RNA is filed under the name uncultured bacterium. RNAcentral's name for it is "bacterial SSU rRNA". It matches the Rfam family "Bacterial small subunit ribosomal RNA", at positions 527 to 896 of the family's 1533-position model. The record is from RNAcentral.